AACGAACGCUGGCGGCAUGCCUAACACAUGCAAGUCGAACGAGACCUUCGGGCCUAGUGGCGCACGGGGGCGUGACGCGGGGGAACCUGCCCUUAGGUUCGGAAUAACUCCCCGGAAGGGGUGCUAAUACCGGAUAAUGUCUUCGGACCUAAGAUUUAUCGCCUUUGGUUGUGGCCGCGUUGUAUUGGCUAGUUGGGAGGGUAAAAGCCUACCACGGCGACGAGCCGUAACUGGUCUGUGAGGAUGAUCAGCCACACUGGGACUGGGCCACGGCCCCGACUCCUACGAGAGGCAGCGGUGGGUAAUAUUGGACAGUGAGCCUGAGCCUGAUCCACCGCUGGCGCGUUAGUGGUCUUCGCGUUAGGGUCGUAAAGCGCUUUUAACCAAGAUGUUAAUGACGGUACCUAGAGAAUAAGCUCCGGCUAACUCCGUG
RNAcentral lists this ribosomal RNA (433 nucleotides) under uncultured bacterium. RNAcentral's name for it is "partial 16S ribosomal RNA". It matches the Rfam family "Bacterial small subunit ribosomal RNA", at positions 29 to 507 of the family's 1533-position model. The record is from RNAcentral.